CGAGAACAAAGCUGUAGGAGAUUUCAUUAAAGCUUGGCUUCAUUCCUAGCUUCAUGGACUAGUAAAUGACCCGAAAGAUCACCUCCUCCAGCCCCUGCUUCUAGUGCGUGUGAUGUUUAAAUAAUUCAAAAAGAAAAAAAGAAAAGAGAAGACAAGAAAAAAGAAUGUUUCCACCAUUCCCAACACUGCCAUUUACCUUGGAAUGAAUUAAACACCCGUUACAUAGACUUCCUUGACGUCUUCUCUGCUGUCUCAGGACAUGCCGAUGCAGGGCUGAUGAUAUCUCAGUGGAGAAGAAACAUGCGGCUGCUUGGGCUCUACAUGAAAUCAUCAUCUUCUAAGUCACAAUGAAGAAGUCUGGACGUUUACCUAAAAUUCAGAUUUUAAAAAAGCUAAGUUUAGUUUGAUUGAUUAUUCCUGCUAAGUAUGUACCACACUCACCCAAGACACUGACAACAAGGUUUAACUCAACAUAGUGUAUAAGGACUAUGAAGAAUAGAAACAUUAAUAAAAUAUGGAUACUGUCAGAGAGAUGCUUACUGUGUAGAGAAGGCAACACAUCCAGAGGGACCUAAAAAGGAAGGCAGAAUAUGAAACAAGGAGAUGUCUAGGGAAGAGGAAUUUAGGUUAUUACCACAUCUUUUGAAGAAUUUUUUUUUCUUUCUUUUUUUUUUUUUGUAGGCUAGCAGGCAAAG
This 695-nucleotide long non-coding RNA is filed under the name Cricetulus griseus (Chinese hamster). RNAcentral's name for it is "lncRNA (ENSCGRG00015032407.1)". Lineage: Eukaryota; Metazoa; Chordata; Mammalia; Rodentia; Cricetidae. The record is from RNAcentral.